GUGAAUCAUCGAAUCUUUGAACGCACAUUGCGCCCCUUGGUAUUCCGAGGGGCAUGCCUGUUUGAGUGUCAUUAAAUUAUCAACUCGAAAAACUUUGUGUUUUCGAUGUUUGGAAUUGGAGUGUGCCGGGGCCCCUACAAAGGGCUCGGGCUCCUCUUGAAAUGCAUUAGUGGAACUUCUGAUUGCGGACCUGCUCCAGCGUGAUAGUUAUCUACGUUGCGGCAGUGAAGCGGUUUAAAUUUGGAGGAUUCGCUUACAACCGUUGCAUAUAUGCGCAACACAUUCAUGACAAUUUGACCU
Molecule: unclassified non-coding RNA, 300 nt
Filed under: uncultured Arrhenia
Lineage: Eukaryota; Fungi; Basidiomycota; Agaricomycetes; Agaricales; Tricholomataceae
Description: sequence contains 5.8S rRNA gene, ITS2
Rfam family: 5.8S ribosomal RNA (bases 1-71)
Source: RNAcentral